CUCAACAAAAGAAAAAAGAAAGCUUCCAAUCUCAUUUUAUCUCCAUUACUUUCUACAUCAAAAUUGGGUCCCAUAACCCGGUUCUUUGUCUAGAGGAUAGCAGUUGAGUACUAGUGGUGGUCUCGGGUAGAAUUGGUAAGAAGACAUCAAACCUUUUGAAAGCUUCAAAGGUAAUACUUCUUAAAACCCUAAUUUGAUUAGUUUAUGGUUACAUGUUAAUUGUGGCAAUUAGGGUAGAAAUUCGAUUCUUUUUCCGCUGUGCAUGACUUAGUUCUAUCAUGUGGUAUCAGAGCAUGCUUCAUUUUUACCCAAUUGCAUGUGGUGGGUUCAAAUUUAUUAGAUAAAUUUUGGUUUGAACUAAAAUGGAUAUAUUAUGAUUUUGGCUCUAGAUUAAGUGUUUUUGUUCUAAUUAUUGUAAUUAGCCUUGUUAAUGGCUUAUUUUUAUUGUUGCAAAAGUGUUUGUAAUUUUUAAAAAAAAUAAAAAAAGUCAUUAGAGUUGAAGCUAGGCUGUAAUUAGUUCAACCGGGUGAGAGAAUUGAAAAAAAUGAAGAAAAGAAGGUCACAGACCCGAAAACCCGGUUUUGACCCGCUUCGCGACCCGCACGCCCGCAUGCCCGCGCGCCUCCGCGCCCGCGCGCCCUCCUGCGCCCCGCGCCCCUCCUGCGCCGCGCGCCUCCUGCGCCGGCGCGCCCUCUGCGCGCCCGCGCGCCUGCAUGCGCCCGCGCGCCCCAUGUGUCCGCGCGCCGCAUGCGCCGCCGCGACCGCCGCGCCCCGGCGCCUGCCUUCGCAUGACCCGUGUGCGCCUGGGCCGGUUCAAGCCAAUAAAUUUGGUUUUUGGGCCGGUUCAAGCGGUUCGGUUGGUUUUUUAGCCGGUUCGAAAUUUUUGGGAGUGGUUCUGUACUACACCAAAUUAAUUAUGUAAUAAUUUAGCACUUAGCUUAAUUUAGGAGCCAAAAAUCAGUCCAUUUUAGGGUGUUUUUUUAUUUAUGCAUGUGAUGUAUGAUUAAAUUACUUUAAAUUUGUAUGUGCAUUUUGAAUGUCAUAUAGAUUUAAAAUCCCACCAUAGGUUAACAUGUUCAUGCAUUAAAAUGUAUGAUAUAAAGGUUAUAUUGUAUUGUAUGCAUGUUAAUUGAUUAAUAUGGAAAUUAAUUAAUAUGAUUAAUUAAUUAUUUAAUUAAUUAAGUUAUUCUUGAUUAAAUAUGAUUUAAUCAAAUUAAUUAAUUAUUGUUUGAUUUAAUUUAAUUAAAUAUGAUUUAAUUAAAGUUAAAUAAAUUAAAAUCCAUAUUAAUUGAUUGUUUUUAUUAUAUAUUGAUAAAAUGAUUGAUUAAGUUUAAAAUUUUUAUAAGUGUUAUAAAAUAAAUUAGACUUUUAAAAUCAAUAACAAAGAUUAAAUGCAUGCUCACUUAGGUUAAACAUAUCUUCCAUUUUUCAUAGAAAUAGGUCGAUAUCUUGUAAAACUGGUUACAAAAGGCUCACCUGGUUCAAUCUUGUCAACAAGUCAGAUAAGAUGACUAAGGUUGGAGGUUCUUAAGUUGACGGUUUACGGAACACCUCCUACCUGGAGAUCGUAAUCAGUUCUUGAGCCUAGUUAACCUAGUUUAUGAGCAUUCGUGAGAGGUGUGAGGUAAUAAAAAUGUUUUUCACCUAGACAUCAUAGGUUAAAAUCCUGUAUAAUGGUUAUACUUGGAUGUUUUAUCUAGACUUAAAGAUUUGUUUAAGUUAGCCUAAAUAUAAAUCUUGAAGUUUGGAUUACCCUAAUUUUUUCUCUAGAACACUUCAACUAGAGAAAAAUAAUGUAUUUUAGCUCUAGUGUCCCUAAGAGUUCACACCGUGAGGUCCAUGCAGGGCUUUGUGUGCCGUAGGAGGACGGCCUCCCUUCGGAGAGUGUUUGCAUGGAUCAAAAUCAAGGUGAAUAGGGAAGUAGUUCAUAGUAAGUGGGUGAGGGAUUUGUGACAGCACAUCCCCGGUCUCUUCCAUUAGGUCGCACCGUGAGAUUUCUAUAAUAUGCCUGCUUGUCUGCCCUGGAGCGACGUUCCCUUCGGAGGGUUGUAUUAUAGGAUUCGGAACACCGCGAACUCCAAAUUGGAUAGGAUUUCUUAGAUUAGUUUCAGAAAUGAUUCUAAUCUAUAAAAUCUGAAAAAUGGUGGGUAACACUUACAAGAAUUACUAAGUUGUUAGUAUAUUCUUGACUAAUAGCGAUAACUAAGUGCUAUAAAGAAUAAAGAGUUAUUCUUGAGAUAGCAUCUAGUCAAGAUUGUCUUGGUUCAAAGGAGGAAUAAUCAACUACCUUCGGAGAAGGUUGUUCUAAACCUUUGAAAUAUUGUUGCAAAAUACAAAUAAUGAAAGGGUACAUUAUUAGUAAUAAAUUAGAUUGUAUUUUUUAUGAUUAUAGUUUUCUUAAAAAGAAUAUGUUUUUUUCAGCAUGAAUAGCUCAAUAGUUCAACUUUUAGCUUCCGAAAAACUUAAUGGCGAUAAUUAUGCGGCUUGGAAAUCAAAUCUUAACACAAUACUAGUGGUUGACGAUUUAAGAUUUGUCUUAACUGAGGAAUGUCCUCAAACCCCUGCC
RNAcentral lists this long non-coding RNA (2566 nucleotides) under Cucumis sativus (cucumber). RNAcentral describes it as "long non-coding RNA (CSAT_LNC000124)". The record is from RNAcentral. Lineage: Eukaryota; Viridiplantae; Streptophyta; Magnoliopsida; Cucurbitales; Cucurbitaceae.